UACGAAGGGUGCAAACGUUGCUCGGAAUUAUUGGGCGUAAAGCGCGUGUAGGCGGCUAAGUAAGUCGGGCGUGAAAUCCCACGGCUCAACCGUGGAAGUGCACUCGAAACUGCAUAGCUAGAGUCCUGGAGAGGGAUGCGGAAUUCCAGGUGUAGCGGUGAAAUGCGUAGAUAUCUGGAGGAACACCGGUGGCGAAGGCGGCGUUCUGGACUGCAACUGACACUGAUGAACGAAAGCCAGGGGAGCAAACGGG
Molecule: ribosomal RNA, 253 nt
Filed under: uncultured bacterium
Lineage: Bacteria
Description: partial 16S ribosomal RNA
Rfam family: Bacterial small subunit ribosomal RNA
Source: RNAcentral